CAGCACCUCAAGUGGUCAGGAGGAUUAUUGGGCCUAAAGCAUCCGUAGCCUGCUCUGUAAGUUUUCGGUUAAAUCUAUAUGCUCAACGUAUAGGCUGCCGAAAAUACUGCAGUGCUAGGAAGUGGGAGAGGUAGACGGUACUUGAUAGGAAGGGGUAAAAUCCUUUGAUCUAUCGAUGACCACCUGUGGCGAAGGCGGUCUACCAGAACACGUUCGACGGUGAGGGAUGAAAGCUGGGGGAGCAAACCGGAUUAGAUACCCGGGUAGUCCCAGCUGUAAACGAUGCAGACUCGAUGAUGCAUUGGCAUAUAGCCAGUGCAGUGUCGCAGGGAAGCCGUUAAGUCUGCCGCCUGGGAAGUACGUACGCAAGUAUGAAACUUAAAGGAAUUGGCGGGGGAGCACCACAAGGGGUGAAGCCUGCGGUUCAAUUGGAGUCAACGCCAGAAAUCUUACCCGGAGAGGCAGCAGAAUGAAGGUCAAGCUGAAGACUUUACCAGACAAGCUGAGAGGUGGUGCAUGGCCGUCGUCAGCUCGUGCCGUGAGAUGUCCUGUUAAGUCAGGUAACGAGCGAGAUCCAUACCACUAGUUGCUAUCAUUACUCUCAGGAGUAGUGGAGCGAAUUAGUGGGACCGCUGUAGUAAUAUGGAGGAAGGAAUGGGCCACGGCAGGUCAGUAUGCCCCGAAACUCUGGGGCCACACGCGGGCUGCAAUGGUAGUGACAAUUGGCGCCUAACUCGAAAGAGUGCGGCAAUCCUUAAACGCUACCACAGUUAUGACUGAGGGCUGUAACUCGCCCUCACGAAUAUGGAAUCCCUAGUAACUGCGUGUCAUUAUCGCGCGGUGAAUACGUCCCUACUCCUU
RNAcentral lists this ribosomal RNA (861 nucleotides) under uncultured organism. RNAcentral describes it as "bacterial SSU rRNA". It matches the Rfam family "Archaeal small subunit ribosomal RNA", at positions 477 to 1338 of the family's 1478-position model. The record is from RNAcentral.